RNAcentral lists this ribosomal RNA (845 nucleotides) under Staphylococcus saprophyticus. RNAcentral's name for it is "bacterial SSU rRNA". It matches the Rfam family "Bacterial small subunit ribosomal RNA", at positions 17 to 803 of the family's 1533-position model. Lineage: Bacteria; Bacillati; Bacillota; Bacilli; Caryophanales; Staphylococcaceae. The record is from RNAcentral.
UCCUAGAGGGAAGUCGUGUUCGGGGGUGCCUAUCAUGCAGUCGAGCGAAAGAUACGGAGCUUGCUCCUUUGACGUUAGCGGCGGACGGGUGAGUAACACGUGGGUAACCUACCUAUAAGACUGCGGAUAACUUCGGGAAACCGGAGCUAAUACCGCGAUAACAUUUGGAACCGCAUGGUUGAAUCUAAAGUGAAUAGAUGGUUUUGACUAUCACUUAUAGAUGGAGCCCGCGCCGUAAUUCGAAGCUAGUUGGUAAGGUAACGGCUUACCAAGGCUUGACGAUACGUAGCCGACUCUAGAGAGGGUGAUCGGCCACACUGGGGACAAACUGACACACGGUCCAUGGUACUAGCCUACGGGAGGCCUGAGCAGUAGGGUAAUCUUCCGCAAUGGGCGAAAGCCUGACGGAGCAACGCCGCGUGAGUGAUGAAGGGUUUCGGCUCGUAAAACUCUAGGUUGAUUAGGGAAGAACAAAUGUGUAAGUAACUGUGCACGUCUUGACGGUACCUAAUCAGAAAGCCACGGCUAACUACGUGCCAGCAGCCGCGGUAAUACGUAGGUGGCAAGCGUUAUCCGGAAUUAUUGGGCAGGUAAAGCGCGCGUAGGCGGUUUCUUCAAGUCUGAUGUGAAAGCCCACGGCUCAACCGUGGAGGGUCAUUGGAAACUGGGAAACUUGAAGCUGCAGAAGGUAGUAAUAGUGGAAUUCCAUGUGUAUCGGUGAAUAUGCGCAGAGAUAUGGAGGAACACCAGUGGUGAAGGCGACUUUCUGGUCUGUAACUGACGCUGAUGUGCGAAAAGCGCGUGUCGGAUCAAACAGGAUUAGAUACCCUGGGGGGUCUCCCCCC